AACUUACGCUAUAAAAGUCACAGUUUCUGUACUAUAUUGGUAUGAGAAGCUUUCCAGCAAUGGAAUAAUUUUUAAGAUGCGACCUUCGGGUCGC
RNAcentral lists this unclassified non-coding RNA (94 nucleotides) under Cryptobia helicis. RNAcentral's name for it is "trans-spliced leader sequence SL". Lineage: Eukaryota; Euglenozoa; Kinetoplastea; Parabodonida; Parabodonidae. The record is from RNAcentral.